Molecule: ribosomal RNA, 287 nt
Filed under: uncultured bacterium
Lineage: Bacteria
Description: partial 16S ribosomal RNA
Rfam family: Bacterial small subunit ribosomal RNA
Source: RNAcentral
GUGGAUUAGAUACCCUGGUAGUCCACACUGUAAACGAUGGAUACUAGGUGUAGGGUGUAUUAAGCACUCUGUGCCGCCGCAAACGCAUUAAGUAUCCCACCUGGGGAGUACGACCGCAAGGUUGAAACUCAAAGGAAUUGACGGGGGCCCGCACAAGCAGUGGAGUAUGUGGUUUAAUUCGAAGCAACGCGAAGAACCUUACCAGGGCUUGACAUAUACAGGAAUAAGUUAGAGAUAGCUUAGCUCUUCGGAGUCUGUAUACAGGUGGUGCAUGGUUGUCGUCAACU